UCGUGUCGUGAGAUGUUCGGGUUAAGUCCCGUAACGAGCGCAACCCUUGUCCUUAGUUACCAGCACGUUAUGGUGGGCACUCUAAGGAGACGUGCCGGUGACAAACCGGAGGAAGGUGGGGAUGACGUCAAGUCAUCAUGGCCCUUACGGCCUGGGCUACACACGUGCUACAAUGGUCGGUACAAAGGGUUGCCAAGCCGCGAGGUGGAGCUAAUCCCAUAAAACCGGCCGUAGUCCGGAUCGCAGUCUGCAACUCGACUGCGUGAAGUCGGAAUCGCUAGUAAUCGUGAAUCAGAAUGUCACGGUGAAUACGUUCCCGGCCUU
Molecule: ribosomal RNA, 324 nt
Filed under: uncultured Pseudomonas sp.
Lineage: Bacteria; Pseudomonadati; Pseudomonadota; Gammaproteobacteria; Pseudomonadales; Pseudomonadaceae
Description: bacterial SSU rRNA
Rfam family: Bacterial small subunit ribosomal RNA
Source: RNAcentral